CACGUAGGGUGCGAGCGUUGUCCGGAAUUAUUGGGCGUAAAGAGCUCGUAGGCGGUGUGUCGCGUCGGCCGUGAAAACCUGCAGCUUAACUGUGGGCUUGCGGUCGAUACGGGCAUCACUGGAGUUCGGCAGGGGAGACUGGAAUUCCUGGUGUAGCGGUGAAAUGCGUAGAUAUCUGGAGGAACACCGGUGGCGAAGGCGGCAUCCUGGACCAACACUGACACUGAGGAGCGAAAGCCAGGGGAGCAAACGGG
This 254-nucleotide ribosomal RNA is filed under the name uncultured bacterium. RNAcentral describes it as "partial 16S ribosomal RNA". It matches the Rfam family "Bacterial small subunit ribosomal RNA", at positions 524 to 776 of the family's 1533-position model. The record is from RNAcentral.